GCUGGGCGUGGUGGCACGUGCCUGUAAUCCCAACUACUUGGGAAGCUGAGACAGGGGAAUCGUUUGAACCUGGGAGGCGGAGGUGGCAGUGAGCCAAGGUCACGCCACUGUACUCCAGCCUGGGUGACAGAGCGAGACUCUGUCUCAA
Molecule: non-coding RNA, 148 nt
Filed under: Pan troglodytes (chimpanzee)
Lineage: Eukaryota; Metazoa; Chordata; Mammalia; Primates; Hominidae
Source: Rfam by way of RNAcentral